UACAGAGGUGGCAAGCGUUGUUCGGAAUUACUGGGCGUAAAGGGCGCGUAGGCGGCCAUCUAAGUCAGACGUGAAAUCCCCCGGCUCAACCUGGGAACUGCGUCUGAUACUGGACGGCUUGAGUAUGGGAGAGGGAUGUAGAAUUCCAGGUGUAGCGGUGAAAUGCGUAGAUAUCUGGAGGAAUACCGGUGGCGAAGGCGGCAUCCUGGACCAUUACUGACGCUGAGGCGCGAAAGCUAGGGGAGCAAACGGG
This 253-nucleotide ribosomal RNA is filed under the name uncultured bacterium. RNAcentral's name for it is "partial 16S ribosomal RNA". It matches the Rfam family "Bacterial small subunit ribosomal RNA", at positions 524 to 776 of the family's 1533-position model. The record is from RNAcentral.